This 76-nucleotide transfer RNA is filed under the name Nitrosomonas sp. RNAcentral's name for it is "tRNA-Glu". It matches the Rfam family "tRNA". Rfam says of the family: Transfer RNA (tRNA) molecules are approximately 80 nucleotides in length. Lineage: Bacteria; Pseudomonadati; Pseudomonadota; Betaproteobacteria; Nitrosomonadales; Nitrosomonadaceae. The record is from RNAcentral. RNAcentral also lists the same sequence under 31 other names.
GUCCCCAUCGUCUAGAGGCCUAGGACAUCGCCCUUUCACGGCGGUAACACGAGUUCGAAUCUCGUUGGGGACGCCA